RNAcentral lists this transfer RNA (74 nucleotides) under Lactococcus sp. RNAcentral describes it as "tRNA-Arg". It matches the Rfam family "tRNA". Rfam says of the family: Transfer RNA (tRNA) molecules are approximately 80 nucleotides in length. RNAcentral also lists the same sequence under 5 other names. The record is from RNAcentral. Lineage: Bacteria; Bacillati; Bacillota; Bacilli; Lactobacillales; Streptococcaceae.
GCAGGCAUGGCUCAACUGGAUAGAGUAUCUGACUACGAAUCAGACGGUUGUAGGUUCGAAUCCUACUGCUUGCA